This 506-nucleotide ribosomal RNA is filed under the name Penicillium dipodomyicola. Its description in RNAcentral is "eukaryotic LSU rRNA". The stretch from base 139 to 291 matches the Rfam family "5.8S ribosomal RNA". The record is from RNAcentral. Lineage: Eukaryota; Fungi; Ascomycota; Eurotiomycetes; Eurotiales; Aspergillaceae.
GUUUAUUUACCUUGUUGCUUCGGCGGGCCCGCCUUAACUGGCCGCCGGGGGGCUCACGCCCCCGGGCCCGCGCCCGCCGAAGACACCCUCGAACUCUGUCUGAAGAUUGUAGUCUGAGUGAAAAUAUAAAUUAUUUAAAACUUUCAACAACGGAUCUCUUGGUUCCGGCAUCGAUGAAGAACGCAGCGAAAUGCGAUACGUAAUGUGAAUUGCAAAUUCAGUGAAUCAUCGAGUCUUUGAACGCACAUUGCGCCCCCUGGUAUUCCGGGGGGCAUGCCUGUCCGAGCGUCAUUGCUGCCCUCAAGCACGGCUUGUGUGUUGGGCCCCGUCCUCCGAUUCCGGGGGACGGGCCCGAAAGGCAGCGGCGGCACCGCGUCCGGUCCUCGAGCGUAUGGGGCUUUGUCACCCGCUCUGUAGGCCCGGCCGGCGCUUGCCGAUCAACCCAAAUUUUUAUCCAGGUUGACCUCGGAUCAGGUAGGGAUACCCGCUGAACUUAAGCAUAUCAU